RNAcentral lists this unclassified non-coding RNA (578 nucleotides) under Zea mays. Its description in RNAcentral is "misc RNA Zm00001eb335000". Lineage: Eukaryota; Viridiplantae; Streptophyta; Magnoliopsida; Poales; Poaceae. The record is from RNAcentral.
GCACCCCAUGCAUGCUGGCCUCUGAACGACACAAUCUUGACUGAAUUAAACAAAGGAAAAUGUAGUAAGGAAAUGUGGGAUAUAGUAGGUAGUAGAUCACCGUGGAAGCUUAUUGCAUGCUUCCUCCCUCAGCUCGCGCUGCAGUGUGCGUAUGCAUGGGGAAGAGGCCUGCUGGCUGCUCUUGCACUCACCUUUAUUCUGCCGCAAACCAUACUUUCUCAUCAAGCAGCGCAAGGAGCGAAUCCGCUUGUAGCGCAGAGUGUGUUGCAUUCAGUGAUACACCCUGUGAAAACCGUGGGCUUGCAUUGCUCCUGCACUUCCGGUGGACAAAAGGCGGGGUCGGCGUUGCCCGUGCAGAACCCAUCAGCAAAGGUGUCGCAAAGGGUAACACAACUGCCGGAACAAUCACCCAUUACUAGCUUGGGCGCCAUGGGCAGCAGGACCGCCAGCAGGAUGCAGGCAGUCACUGCAGUGGACAUCUUAACCGGGGCGGCGGCACCAGAAGCCAUUGAUGUCGAGGUUGCUAGUAGCUAGAGCACGAGAGAAACUCAAAUAUGCUAGCUGAGCUGAGCCUUACC